UAUUAUUACUUUGGCAGAUUAGUGUAAUAAAUUUAGAAUUUAUAGAUGUAAUUAUUUUACAAGUAAUA
Molecule: transfer RNA, 68 nt
Filed under: Deronectes semirufus
Lineage: Eukaryota; Metazoa; Arthropoda; Insecta; Coleoptera; Dytiscidae
Description: transfer RNA-Leu
Source: RNAcentral